Molecule: ribosomal RNA, 207 nt
Filed under: Triticum aestivum (bread wheat)
Lineage: Eukaryota; Viridiplantae; Streptophyta; Magnoliopsida; Poales; Poaceae
Description: partial small subunit ribosomal RNA
Source: RNAcentral
AUGAUCAAGCUGAAGGCUCUAUGGAGAGGAAGGACUUUUUUACUAAUAGGUGAUGAAUGCAUUAUGGCAGUCAAUCAACCACGCCAUACUCACGACUGGGAUGAAGUUACUGGAAAAUGGAAACCACGUGGAAUCUGGUUGUUUCUCCAGGUGCUUUCUUCACAUGAAGAGAAACAUUGCUUACCUCUAUCAGGCAGGCAGAAAUAG